AACGAACGCUGGCGGCAUGCCUAACACAUGCAAGUCGAACGAGACCUUCGGGUCUAGUGGCGCACGGGUGCGUAACGCGUGGGAACCUGCCCUUAGGUUCGGAAUAACUCCCCGAAAGGGGUGCUAAUACCGGAUAAUGUCUUCGGACCAAAGAUUUAUCGCCUUUGGAUGGGCCCGCGUUGGAUUAGCUAGUUGGUAGGGUAAAAGCCUACCAAGGCGACGAUCCAUAGCUGGUCUGAGAGGAUGAUCAGCCACACUGGGACUGAGACACGGCCCAUACUCCUACGGGAGGCAGCAGUGGGGAAUAUUGGACAAUGGGCGAAAGCCUGAUCCAGCAAUGCCGCGUGAGUGAUGAAGGCCUUAGGGUUGUAAAGCUCUUUUACCCGGGAUGAUAAUGACAGUACCGGGAGAAUAAGCUCCGGCUAACUCCGU
RNAcentral lists this ribosomal RNA (432 nucleotides) under uncultured bacterium. RNAcentral's name for it is "partial 16S ribosomal RNA". It matches the Rfam family "Bacterial small subunit ribosomal RNA", at positions 29 to 506 of the family's 1533-position model. The record is from RNAcentral.